Long non-coding RNA from Rhagoletis zephyria (snowberry fruit fly), 480 nucleotides. RefSeq lists it as uncharacterized. Lineage: Eukaryota; Metazoa; Arthropoda; Insecta; Diptera; Tephritidae. The record is from RefSeq and is a predicted model, not a curated record.
GCUAACUUUGUUUUUUCUCUCUUUAACCUUUAUCAAUUUAUAAUUUAUUGUGUUCCUGUGCAAAUUUAGUGCUGGAAUAUCUUUAAAAUCACAAUGUCUCAAACGCUGAGGAAAGAAAAUUUAAAAUUACAGUUCGCUGAUGAAAUCAUGACUAAAAUAUAAUUAAUCGAUUAUCGACUCACAGCAACAAUGAGAUCACCAGAUUCACUUAAAUGUUUCCUUUUUGCUGCAAAAUUGAAGAUGUAUGAAAACUAAAAUAAGAUUGUUUUUUUUCGUCAAAUAUUUACUAAAUAAUUAUGAAACUUUACCCACUUAUUCCCUUCUGUGCGCUUUACAUCUGUACAUGUCAAAAUGAAAAUUAAAAUGACUUCUUCCAAAUAACCGAUGCCAGAUUGGAGAUUUAUUAUGUGUCUUUUUAGUAGCUUUUGCGAAAAGUUACUUUGCCAUACUUAUCAUUAUAAGGAUUUUAGCAAAAGUUUG